GUCCAGACACCCAGGUUACAGACCCUCCACCCCCAGGCCUCCCAGAGCCCCUCACCCUCUGCCAGCCAGGGUAGCCCCCCAGUGGCCUCUUUUUCUUCCAUCUUCCCAUGUGUCCCCAGGUUCCUGUUGACAGCUGUCGCCUUGCUCUCCAGCUACUCCAUCCACCUGCUACUCAAGUCCUCAGGGGUCGUGGGCAUCCGUGCCUAUGAGCAGCUGGGCUACCGUGCCUUUGGGACCCCAGGAAAGCUGGCAGCAGCCCUGGCCAUCACGCUCCAGAACAUCGGAGCCAUGUCCAGCUACCUGUACAUCAUCAAGUCUGAGCUGCCACUUGUCAUACAGACCUUCUUGAACCUGGAGAAAACCUCGGACUGGUACAUGAACGGGAACUACCUGGUAAUCCUUGUCUCUGUCACCGUUAUUC
Molecule: small RNA, 421 nt
Filed under: Pongo abelii (Sumatran orangutan)
Lineage: Eukaryota; Metazoa; Chordata; Mammalia; Primates; Hominidae
Description: retained intron
Source: RNAcentral